This 17-nucleotide small RNA is filed under the name Arabidopsis thaliana (thale cress). RNAcentral describes it as "ATSL019720". Lineage: Eukaryota; Viridiplantae; Streptophyta; Magnoliopsida; Brassicales; Brassicaceae. The record is from RNAcentral.
UCUCUUCAUCAUCACCA